Molecule: ribosomal RNA, 450 nt
Filed under: uncultured bacterium
Lineage: Bacteria
Description: bacterial SSU rRNA
Rfam family: Bacterial small subunit ribosomal RNA
Source: RNAcentral
GUGGGGAAUAUUGGACAAUGGGCGAAAGCCUGAUCCAGCCAUGCCGCGUGUGUGAAGAAGGUCUUCGGAUUGUAAAGCACUUUAAGUUGGGAGGAAGGGCAGUAAGUUAAUACCUUGCUGUUUUGACGUUACCGACAGAAUAAGCACCGGCUAACUCCGUGCCAGCAGCCGCGGUAAUACGUAGGGUGCAAGCGUUAAUCGGAAUUACUGGGCGUAAAGCGUGCGCAGGCGGUUAUAUAAGACAGAUGUGAAAUCCCCGGGCUCAACCUGGGAACUGCAUUUGGGACUGUAUAGCUAGAGUACGGUAGAGGGUAGUGGAAUUUCCUGUGUAGCGGUGAAAUGCGUAGAUAUAGGAAGGAACACCAGUGGCGAAGGCGACUACCUGGACUGAUACUGACACUGAGGUGCGAAAGCGUGGGGAGCAAACAGGAUUAGAUACCCCGGUAGUCC